AUUGAACGCUGGCGGCAUGCCUUACACAUGCAAGUCGAACGGCAGCACGGGAGCAAUCCUGGUGGCGAGUGGCGAACGGGUGAGUAAUAUAUCGGAACGUGCCCAGUAGUGGGGGAUAGCCCGGCGAAAGCCGGAUUAAUACCGCAUACGACCUGUGGGUGAAAGCGGGGGAUCGCAAGACCUCGCGCUAUUGGAGCGGCCGAUAUCAGAUUAGCUAGUUGUGGGUAAAGGCCACCAAGGCGACGAUCUGUAGCUGGUCUGAGAGGACGACCAGCCACACUGGAACUGAGAGACGGACCAGACUCCUACGGGAGCAGCAGUGGGGGAAUAUUGGACAAUGGGGGCAACCCUGAUCCAGCGAUGCCGCGUGUGUGAAGAAGGCCUGAGGUUGUAAAGCACUUUAGUUGGGUAGGAAGAAGUCCAGAGAUGAAUAAGCUAUGGAAAUGACGUUACCCAAAGAAUAAAG
RNAcentral lists this ribosomal RNA (466 nucleotides) under uncultured bacterium. Its description in RNAcentral is "bacterial SSU rRNA". It matches the Rfam family "Bacterial small subunit ribosomal RNA", at positions 29 to 491 of the family's 1533-position model. The record is from RNAcentral.